UCUAACAAAUUUAUUUUUCUUCUGUUUGUGUCCCAAUAACGCCGCACAUGGUUCGCUCCAAGGAAAUGCGAUAUGUUGCCAUUGAUCUUGUGCACAAUCAAACAAUUGAAUGUAGCGUAUAAUCGCCGCAUUCGCUUCCCUAAAACAACAAUUCACUUUUAUCUAGUAUCUUAUACAUAAGAAUUAUAUUUUCCAACAAGUAACUUCACAUUUAAGGAGAAUUUAACAAAGGUGACAAAUCCAGCUGGCUCUCUAAUCUCAUUAUUCCGCAAAAGUUUACUUUUGUCCUGCGUGGCCCCAAGACAUUUUUCUAUGGCUGAAACUGGGCCUCGACCACGCCUCGGUGGGUGAGUGUGUCCAUCACACAAAAAUAAUAAUAAGAAAUGGUACCAAAUGAACCAUUAUUUGAAACUGCUGGUUCCACACGAGGUAAGAUUUGUACAUUCGUCAUGCAAUGAAAAAUAAGAUAUAGAGUCCCAUUUGACUUGUUAAAAAGACAAAUAGGAUUGAAGGGGCGUGAUGGCUAGUAAUUAAGAUCCACAGAUAAACUCCUGCCAUCCAUCACUUUAAAAGGUGUAUCGUUUACUCGGUGCUCUCAUCCCAUAUAUUCAAUAUUGAACAUUAACUAGUGGGGACAGGGCCUAUAGCCCCGGUCCGUAAGGGGCUUUAGUCCCGGUUCACGAACCGGGACUAAAGGGGCGGGACUAAAGGCCUAACCUUUUUGUCCCGGUCCUCUUACACGCCGGGACUAAAGGUGCUCCACGUGGGCGCCUCGUAGCGCCUCAGGGACAGGCCCUUUAGUCCCGGCUCGUUACACGGACUGGGACUAAAGAUUUUCAGAUUUUGCUGGUUUUUGGCUUCUUUUUUUUUAAUGAAAUUAUUUUUGGGUUUUAGGGUUUUAGGGUUUAGGUGUUCGGGAGAUUAACGUGAUGCCUCGUUUGGUGUUCGGGAAUUAGUUUUCAUAUAAUUUAAGAUAGAAAUAAUUAUGCAUAUAUAUAUAUAUAUAUAAUUAACUUAUCUUACAAGCGAGCAUAUAUAUACAAUUAUAUGGAGAUCUGAAUUAUCGGGACUAGAGCCCGUCUAUUCGAUUACAUGGACGGGCAUCAGUAAUGGUCUCGCAAACGUAGUAUCCGCAUAGAUGCGUUCCCCGUGGCUGCUGGUCGCACUUUACGAGAAUAGAAUAUAUAUAAUCAAAAUAAUAAUCUAGCAUCAUAAAUGUAUUAAAAAUUAAUAAAAGUAUAUCAUACUACUACUUACCUGAGCCGCUUUAAAGGUCAGCUUCUCAUGAAAGUUAACGGGAGUCACGCACUUGAACCGCUUUCAAACCCUGCCCGACAAGGAUAAUGAUUUGCUCAGUUUUUUAUUAAUUGAUAUAUCAGAAAAUCAUCGAAAGAGACCGAUAGAGCGCAAGAAUGAUUAAAAUUACCCUUGGAGCAUGUCAUGCAGGCUUUGAAACUGUUUCAAGGGUCUCGAUAAUGGGUCGAAGGCAUCAACUCUUCCCUUAUCAAUUUGAAUGUCCAACAGAAUCCAAUGAAAGCUGCACAUGUAUAUAUAUAUAAGUGUCAGUAACUUAUCAAUUACACUUAUAAGUGAAUGGACACAACAGAGUAAAGACCCUCACCUGAAGUUGUAUGGAAACAGUAUGUGGUCACAGAAAUUUUGAUCUAUUAGAAACCUUAGAAGGUUUUCCUCCGUCUCCUUGGGAUAAUUAGUUAGCGUCGCUAUAUGUAUUUUAUCUGGGUCAAUAAACCCAAUAUUUAGGAUGCACUUACUUUUACAAUACAGAAUCUUCAUUCUGCAUAAUAGAGUACAAGUUAUAUAUAGACAAUGAAUUGAAAUAACUAAACAAGUUAUAUGUAGACAACGAAUUGAAAAACUUACAGACAAUAGCAACUCAUUAGCGAUUUGUCGAGGGCGUCGCCAUUGUACAUCUGGAAGAGUUCAUCAAAGUCGAUAUGGAUUUGUUCAGGGCGGCCGUAGUACUCCUUGGGGACACUCAGCACGAUCAUCGUUCUCCCAUUCUUUGAUUCACUUAAGUACCAUUGAUGCAAGUAACGCAUAUUUGUUGGGAGAUCAUCUUUGCUGACCAAAGGCUCACCCAAGACAAACUGUGGCUUAGGGGCUAUCACAGCCUUGGGUAUCUUGUCGUCUUGGAAAGACAGCAAUUCUUCAACCGAGACACCACAUGCAGCCGCCAACUUCUUUGCACUUUCUAAACCUAGACCCUGCAUCGAAGGGGGAACAUUCUCGGUUAACACCUUAAGGGGUGGGAUCGACUGUUUGGCCUGUUGUCGAAGCUGAGGAACGUCUGAUUUUUUUUUGCUUGUAGUUGAACUUGAUUUGCUCCCACUUACACUUGCACGUGAUCUGCUCUUUUUCACUUCCAAUAUAGCUAAUACACCACGCGUAAUACUGAGCUCAAACUCUAGAGAUUGUUCUUCCAAUAUAGCUAGUACACCGAUUAUAAAAUAGCAGACCAAUGUGUUUGGGGAGGCGCCAAAUGGAAUUUCCAUCUAUAGGAAUAGGAGGCAUGUGGAAGUUGGCAAGAUCAAUGUGACAACACUGAUCAGGCAUGUAAAUCUAUCCUGAUCCCAUAUAACAAUAUCGCAGAGUGUUGCUCGUUUUGUGAUGCUGGUUGGACCAUAGAGCUAGCUGUCCCAAGAAUCUUAGAAGCUGGUGUUCUGGUAUCUAGUGUAGGUGCAACCACACCAGUAAAUAAUCCAUCUAAUAAGUUAACUUCAGUUACACAGGCUCUGUCCAUGCUGUGAAUCUCUCCGAAUAAUAACAAUACAAAUCACAUAAACCUUUGAUGGAGACCGUCCCUGUUCGAAACUUCUAUAUCCACAUGUUGGUUGAACUGUGCUCCCAUGUUACGUUCCAGUCCACCACACCUCUCUACACAACCAUCUUGGCUUUGGUACUCUGUUUACACCCAUGGCUGCCUAGUUCCUUUAAGAUUCACGGGCACUCCAUGUACAAGGCAGAUGAGAAGAUCUCUCAUAGAAUUAGUGUUGGUUAUAUAAUAGGGCUAACAUUUAACAUACAGGUAUUUGUUUAAGAAACCGCUACAUUUUUGCAUACGUAUACUCAACACAGAGUGCUAAAUAAAGUUAACAUUGACUAAUCAAUUUAUGUUUGCACCUAUAAAUGUUGAACUCCACUUCCACAUACUAGAAAUGCAAAGUAGCUCAAGGAUUUCAAAUAAACAAACAAUAGAGAAGAUUGAGUAUUGCGAACACAACGUACAAUAAUGUGUUAGAUCUCAUGAUGAAGUGAGAAGUGGGCUAUGAUGAAGCCAGAAGGGCCACCUUCCAACGACACCAUAAAUAUCGGCAUAGCACACAUGGUUUCUCCUUACGGCGUGGGGAUGUACAAUCUCCAUGAUGCAGAGGCGAGAGACGUCAUCGCAAGAUUGGAUUCAAUCGUCUCCUCUCGGUUGCUAAGGCACGGCAUUGCUAGCUGUGGAAGAGUUAUGGGCGUACGAAAUUACGAAUCCAUGUGGCAUUGCUUCCAUGGGCAUCAUCUAAUAGGAGUUAGGAGGGUUGAUGGAAGUGUGGGGCAAUAGCCUGACCGAGGGCGUAGCACGUCCGGUUGAUCGAAAUCUACUAUACACGAGUGAGGGUACUGAUAGCUCCCGUGAGAAGUGAGAACCUAAUCUGGACUUUGAAGAGAAAACCUAGCCCCCACAUCUCCCUGUGUGGGUAACUCUCAUGGCGACAUCAUACCCCCUUCCUCUUUCCUCCUCCAAUCCGACCACGCCCCAGCCGCUGGUCGGAGCCACCGAAGCAAUGUCUCUCAUGGUGGCUGGCGGCAGGGCCUCUUUCUCCUCUGCUUAGGGCACCCGAUGUGUGGUGGCUUGGCCGGCGGUAGCAUCGGGCACGAGCAUUGUCGGGCGGCAUGCCGAAUGUGGCUCACGGAAGAACUUUUCUCAUGUAGAGCGACCAAUAACAAGGUGGGUGGUUACUCACAGUGUUGUGGUUGCGCGCACGUAGUAGCUAUUGUGGCUCAGAUCUGGACCACUAGAUGCCUCGGGAAGCUCUAGGGCGUCUUCACUGGUCUGGAUCCGGCACACCUGUUGUGAGCAUGACCGCCAAUUGGUUGGCUGCUGGUGGGUGUCGCGAGCUGGACAGGGGGUUGGAGGGGAUGAAACCCCUACCAAUGACAACCUUGCUUUGAAUAGAGGGUGUUGGGGAGGCUCCGGAUUGGAGUUGACGGGCUCAUCGGUCACGUGAUCGGUGUGGUGCGGCUCCGUGGUGGUGAGAGGGGUUUGUCGACUACUAGGUAGAGAAGACCCACUUGUCCGUGCUGGUUCCAGCCACCAUGUUGUGCACCCCUGCCUUGUGAUUCCUUCUUGAUGUCGGUACAAAUUGAGCUCCCGGGAGCGCCCAUGCUGUCGAUGGCCAUUGUCAUGGCGGUAUGCAAGCUCGCUUAGGACAUGGCCAGACGUGUAAGGUCGGGAAUCGCUUAGUGUUGGUCGUUAGAAGACACCGUGUCCUCUCUUCCACCAAGAUCGUUUGAUGACGCGGUGGAUGUUGACCGAGACCCGAUGACCGAUGUCGGGCGAGAAGUGGAAGGAGGUGCCUUCCACUCUUCCUAAUGUGGUUGGUGUGCGGUAAUGCAGAUGCUUGGUAGUGUAUUGGGGCAUAGAUGCCAGGGCGGCAACCCAGGGAUGACGCUCCGUGUGGUUGGCUCUUCGAUAGGCACCAUGGAAGUAGUGGUGGCUUUGCCUCUUGGUUGCCUAGGCGAUGAGGAGGGCAUAACGGCGUGUGGCUCUGGCUCGCUCUCUAUCGUUGGUAGUGGCAACGCCCAAAUCCGGAUACAAGGACUUGUGUUCUUCGCGGUUGUUGUGGUACCUCGUGGUGGCAUGAGUAAGCGGCCAAGCGAAAACUCUGCACUUUGGCACUAACGAUGGCGAUACUCGUGGGUGUCUCUUUCCUCAUGAUGACGUCGUUGUGGUUUUGCUCUCCAUGCCAGGGUUCCAAGUGAAGACCUAGGUCCAUCUCGGGCUCGUCAGUGGCGACGCCUAGCAUCAUUCCACCUGAUGAGGGCUUUGUUGUGAUGUUAUCGUGUACAUUUGUGUUGUUCAGUUAUCCUCGGAUAUGCUUUGUAAGGGGGGCUCCUUACUACUCUAUAUC
This 5135-nucleotide long non-coding RNA is filed under the name Hordeum vulgare. Its description in RNAcentral is "long non-coding RNA (HVUL_LNC006311)". Lineage: Eukaryota; Viridiplantae; Streptophyta; Magnoliopsida; Poales; Poaceae. The record is from RNAcentral.